GGAAUUUUCCGCAAUGGGGGCAACCCUGACGGAGCGACGCCGCGUGGGCGAUGAAGGCUUUCGGGUCGUAAAACCCUUUCGGCAGGGAAGAAUAGCGAUGACGGUACCUGCAGAAGAAGCACCGGCUAACUACGUGCCAGCAGCCGCGGUAAUACAUAGGGUGCGAGCGUUGUUCGGAAUCACUGGGCGUAAAGAGCACGUAGGCGGUCUGGAAAGUCAGAGGUGAAAGCCCGGAGCUCAACUCCGGAGGGCCCUUUGAAACUCCCAGACUUGAGUAUAGGAGAGGUAAGCGGAAUUCCUGGUGUAGCAGUGAAAUGCGUAGAUAUCAGGAGGAACACCAGUGGCGAAGGCGGCUUACUGGCCUAAUACUGACGCUGAGGUGCGAAAGCGUGGGGGGCGAACAGGAUUAGAUACCCCAGUAGUC
Molecule: ribosomal RNA, 424 nt
Filed under: uncultured bacterium
Lineage: Bacteria
Description: bacterial SSU rRNA
Rfam family: Bacterial small subunit ribosomal RNA
Source: RNAcentral